AGUUUGAUCCUGGCUCAGAUUGAACGCUGGCGGCAUGCUUUACACAUGCAAGUCGAACGGCAGCACGGGUGCUUGCACCUGGUGGCGAGUGGCGGACGGGUGAGUAAUACAUCGGAACGUGUCCUGAAGUGGGGGAUAACGCAUCGAAAGAUGUGCUAAUACCGCAUAUACUCUGAGGAGUAAAGUAGGGGAUCGAAAGACCUUAUGCUUUUGGAGCGGCCGAUGUCUGAUUAGCUAGUUGGUGGGGUAAUUGCCUACCAAGGCGACGAUCAGUAGUUGGUCUGAGAGGACGGCCAGCCACACUGGGACUGGGACACGGCCCAGACUCCUACGGGAGGCAGCAGUGGGGAAUUUUGGACAAUGGGCGCAAGCCUGAUCCAGCAAUGCCGCGUGAGUGAAGAAGGCCUUCGGGUUGUAAAGCUCUUUCAGUUGAGAAGAAAAGAUUGUAACUAAUAAUUACAGUUCAUGACGGUAUCAACAGAAGAAGCACCGGCUAACUACGUGCCAGCAGCCGCGGUAAUACGUAGGGUGCGAGCGUUAAUCGGAAUUACUGGGCGUAAAGGGUGCGCAGGCGGUUCUGUAAGUCAGAUGUGAAAUCCCCGGGCUUAACCUGGGAACUGCGUUUGAAACUACAGAGCUAGAGUGUGGCAGAGGGGGGUGGAAUUCCAUGUGUAGCAGUGAAAUGCGUAGAGAUAUGGAAGAACAUCGAUGGCGAAGGCAGCCCCCUGGGUUAACACUGACGCUCAUGCACGAAAGCGUGGGGAGCAAACAGGAUUAGAUACCCUGGUAGUC
This 792-nucleotide ribosomal RNA is filed under the name uncultured bacterium. RNAcentral describes it as "bacterial SSU rRNA". It matches the Rfam family "Bacterial small subunit ribosomal RNA", at positions 10 to 795 of the family's 1533-position model. The record is from RNAcentral.